This 117-nucleotide ribosomal RNA is filed under the name Actinomycetes bacterium. RNAcentral also lists the same sequence under 1 other name. The record is from RNAcentral. Lineage: Bacteria; Bacillati; Actinomycetota; Actinomycetes.
UUCGGCGGUGAUAGCGGCGGGGGUACACCUCUUCCCAUUCCGAACAGAGCAGUUAAGCCCGCCAGCGCCGAUGGUACUCGGAGGGCAACCUCCCGGGAGAGUAGGUCGCCGCCGAAU